UACGAAGGGGGCUAGCGUUGUUCGGAAUCACUGGGCGUAAAGCGCACGUAGGCGGCUCGGUAAGUCGGGGGUGAAAGCCUGAGGCUCAACCUCGGAACUGCCUUCAAGACUGGAGGGCUUGAGGUCGGGAGAGGUGAGUGGAAUUCCGAGUGUAGAGGUGAAAUUCGUAGAGAUUGGGAAGAACACCAGUGGCGAAGGCGGCUCACUGGCCCGUAACUGACGCUGAGGUGCGAAAGCGUGGGGAGCAAACAGG
This 253-nucleotide ribosomal RNA is filed under the name uncultured bacterium. RNAcentral's name for it is "partial 16S ribosomal RNA". It matches the Rfam family "Bacterial small subunit ribosomal RNA", at positions 524 to 776 of the family's 1533-position model. The record is from RNAcentral.